RNAcentral lists this ribosomal RNA (450 nucleotides) under uncultured bacterium. RNAcentral's name for it is "bacterial SSU rRNA". It matches the Rfam family "Bacterial small subunit ribosomal RNA", at positions 354 to 796 of the family's 1533-position model. The record is from RNAcentral.
GUGGGGAAUUUUGGACAAUGGGGGCAACCCUGAUCCAGCCAUGCCGCGUGCGGGAAGAAGGCCUUCGGGUUGUAAACCGCUUUUGUCAGGGAAGAAAUCCUUUGGGUUAAUACCUCGGAGGGAUGACGGUACCUGAAGAAUAAGCACCGGCUAACUACGUGCCAGCAGCCGCGGUAAUACGUAGGGUGCGAGCGUUAAUCGGAAUUACUGGGCGUAAAGCGUGCGCAGGCGGUUUUGUAAGAUCGAUGUGAAAUCCCCGGGCUCAACCUGGGAACUGCAUUGGUGACUGCAAGGCUGGAGUGCGGCAGAGGGGGAUGGAAUUCCGCGUGUAGCAGUGAAAUGCGUAGAUAUGCGGAGGAACACCGAUGGCGAAGGCAAUCCCCUGGGCCUGCACUGACGCUCAUGUACGAAAGCGUGGGGAGCAAACAGGAUUAGAUACCCUGGUAGUCC